Molecule: ribosomal RNA, 497 nt
Filed under: uncultured bacterium
Lineage: Bacteria
Description: partial 16S ribosomal RNA
Rfam family: Bacterial small subunit ribosomal RNA
Source: RNAcentral
GAUGAACGCUGGCGGCGUGCCUAAUACAUGCAAGUCGAGCGAACAGACGAGGAGCUUGCUCCUCUGACGUUAGCGGCGGACGCGUGAGUAACACGUGGAUAACCUACCUAUAAGACUGGGAUAACUUCGGGAAACCGGAGCUAAUACCGGAUAAUAUAUUGAACCGCAUGGUUCAAUAGUGAAAGACGGUUUUGCUGUCACUUAUAGAUGGAUCCGCGCCGCAUUAGCUAGUUGGUAAGGUAACGGCUUACCAAGGCAACGAUGCGUAGCCGACCUGAGAGGGUGAUCGGCCACACUGGAACUGAGACACGGUCCAGACUCCUACGGGAGGCAGCAGUAGGGAAUCUUCCGCAAAGGGCGAAAGCCUGACGGAGCAACGCCGCGUGAGUGAUGAAGGUCUUCGGAUCGUAAAACUCUGUUAUUAGGGAAGAACAAAUGUGUAAGUAACUAUGCACGUCUUGACGGUACCUAAUCAGAAAGCCACGGCUAACUACGUG